CUUUUUCUCCUCUUAUCUUAUGAUCUUAUCCUGCUCUGACGCCUGAUGAAAUGGGCCGCUGGGUCUGUCUCUUCUAUAUAUUGUUGGGAGCGAGGCGUUUGAAUUUCAAGGUACUCUGGUGAUUCCUCCAUCGGCUUCUCAAUUGAGCAAUCUCUUACACGCCCUCACAUCUCGCUAUUCUGCAUCCUCUUGAUCACAAAUUUUCAGAUCAUGCCAACAAUCCUGUCCCUUUUCCUUUGCGGAAUCUUGAUCCAUUACUUGCAAGUUGCAGCCAUGGGAGGCUGCCCUCCUUUGCAGAUUCAUUCUCGUGUUGAAAUACAGAGGCAACCACUGUGGAUUCAGUGGUUCGUUCCCACAAGAAACAGAACAAUUUAUGACAGCGUGACGUAUGGAGGACAACUUGUUGACAGACAUCGUUCCGGCAAAGUAUAUAGAGGAAAAAAGAGGACAGUGUGUGGACCCGAGCGUGAAUUAAAGGAGGAGGAACCCACUACCCCAUUCCUUAAUUCUAACCAUUCACCGCCCGACCAACCCCCACCUGUAUGUUUUUCCGUGGCCUAAGGCAAAACUAGUUGAACAACGAUCUUGCAAAUGAAACACUUAAAUGUUGUAAUCCCUUUUUUCCCUUGACUUUCAAUAUGUUGGUUGGAAAUGAGCAAAAACCUUAACGCCCAUUAAUUCUCUUUAACAAUUUAAAUAAGUUUUAAAUUUACUCAUA
This is a long non-coding RNA of Prosopis cineraria, 718 nucleotides long. RefSeq lists it as uncharacterized. NCBI's taxonomy places the organism in Eukaryota, Viridiplantae, Streptophyta, Magnoliopsida, Fabales, Fabaceae. The record is from RefSeq and is a predicted model, not a curated record. The transcript has 2 exons.